CCUACGGGUGGCAGCAGUGGGGAAUAUUGGGCAAUGGACGCAACCCUGACCCAGCAACGCCGCGUGAAUGAUGAAGGCCUUCGGAUUGUAAAGUUCUGUUAUGGGGGAUGAACACAAUGACGGUACUUCAUUAGCAAGCCACGGCUAACUACGUGCCAGCAGCCGCGGUAAUACGUAGGUGGCAAGCGUUAUCCGGAUUGACUGGGGGUAAAGGGUGCGUAGGUGGUUAAGUAAGUUAGAGGUGAAAUUCCGGGGCUCAACCACGGUACUGCCGUCGAAACUGUUAGACUGGAGUGUAGGAGAGGUAGGUGGAAUUCCUGGUGUAGCGGUGAAAUGCGUAGAUAUAAGGAGGAACAUCAGGGGCGAAGGCGACUUACUGGACUAUAACUGACGCUGAGGCACGAAAGCGUGGGGAGCAAACAGGAUUAGAUACCCCAGUAGUC
RNAcentral lists this ribosomal RNA (443 nucleotides) under uncultured bacterium. RNAcentral's name for it is "partial 16S ribosomal RNA". It matches the Rfam family "Bacterial small subunit ribosomal RNA", at positions 338 to 795 of the family's 1533-position model. The record is from RNAcentral.